AUCGCUUCUCGGCCUUUUGGCUAAGAUCAAGUAUAGUAUGUAGAUUUCUCAUAAUAAUCUUUCUCCAUCUUUCAUCUGCAUGGCUAAUUAUAGAAAAAUCUGUUCUGUGGAAUAAGGAACAGUUUACCAAGU
Molecule: small nuclear RNA, 132 nt
Filed under: Cervus elaphus hippelaphus
Lineage: Eukaryota; Metazoa; Chordata; Mammalia; Artiodactyla; Cervidae
Also listed under: 1 other name
Description: U2 spliceosomal RNA
Rfam family: U2 spliceosomal RNA
About the family: U2 is a small nuclear RNA (snRNA) component of the spliceosome (involved in pre-mRNA splicing). Complementary binding between U2 snRNA (in an area lying towards the 5' end but 3' to hairpin I) and the branchpoint sequence (BPS) of the intron results the bulging out of an unpaired adenosine, on the BPS, which initiates a nucleophilic attack at the intronic 5' splice site, thus starting the first of two transesterification reactions that mediate splicing.
Source: Rfam by way of RNAcentral